This 174-nucleotide small RNA is filed under the name Acidovorax sp. RNAcentral's name for it is "Manganese sequence". It matches the Rfam family "Manganese Mn2+ riboswitch aptamer (yybP-ykoY)". From Rfam's summary of the family: This RNA was originally discovered in E. coli during a large scale screen and was named SraF. The family was later found to exist upstream of related families of protein genes in many bacteria, including the the yybP and ykoK genes in B. subtilis. The record is from Rfam by way of RNAcentral. Lineage: Bacteria; Pseudomonadati; Pseudomonadota; Betaproteobacteria; Burkholderiales; Comamonadaceae.
CCGCCGGUCUUUGGGGAGUAGCCCGCCCGGUGCGCAACGCGCCGGGGGCAUGCAUCAACAAACUUGGGUUCGGUGAACCUAUGGUGCAUGCGGUUUUUGAGCUGGGCGAGACCAUUGACUGCAUGCCGAUCCAAUGGCCGGAGUCGGGGUGCAGUCAAUGCGUUGUCUAUAACU